CUACGGGUGGCUGCAGUAGGGAAUCUUCGGCAAUGGACGGAAGUCUGACCGAGCAACGCCGCGUGAGUGAAGAAGGUUUUCGGAUCGUAAAGCUCUGUUGUAAGAGAAGAACGAGUGUGAGAGUGGAAAGUUCACACUGUGACGGUAUCUUACCAGAAAGGGACGGCUAACUACGUGCCAGCAGCCGCGGUAAUACGUAGGUCCCGAGCGUUGUCCGGAUUUAUUGGGCGUAAAGCGAGCGCAGGCGGUUAGAUAAGUCUGAAGUUAAAGGCUGUGGCUUAACCAUAGUACGCUUUGGAAACUGUUUAACUUGAGUGCAGAAGGGGAGAGUGGAAUUCCAUGUGUAGCGGUGAAAUGCGUAGAUAUAUGGAGGAACACCGGUGGCGAAAGCGGCUCUCUGGUCUGUAACUGACGCUGAGGCUCGAAAGCGUGGGGAGCAAACAGGAUUAGAUACCCUAGUAGUC
RNAcentral lists this ribosomal RNA (464 nucleotides) under uncultured bacterium. RNAcentral's name for it is "partial 16S ribosomal RNA". It matches the Rfam family "Bacterial small subunit ribosomal RNA", at positions 339 to 795 of the family's 1533-position model. The record is from RNAcentral.